GAUGAACGCUAGCGGCGGGCCUAAUACAUGCAAGUCGAACGGUGCAGCAAUGCAUAGUGGCAGACGGGUGCGUAACGCGUAUGCAACCUACCUUUUAUCGGGGGGACAACAUUUCGAAAGAAGUGCUAAUACCGCGUAAGAUAGUAGUGGGACAUCCCACAGCUAUUAAACUUUCGGGGAUAGAAGAUGGGCAUGCGUCUGAUUAGCUAGUUGGCGGGGUAACGGCCCACCAAGGCGACGAUCAGUAGGGGAACUGAGAGGUUGAUCCCCCACACUGGCACUGAGAUACGGGCCAGACUCCUACGGGAGGCAGCAGUAGGGAAUAUUGGACAAUGGGCGAAAGCCUGAUCCAGCAAUGCCGCGUGAGUGAUGAAGGCCUUAGGGUUGUAAAGCUCUUUUACCCGGGAUGAUAAUGACAGUACCGGGAGAAUAAGCUCCGGCUAACUCCGUGCCAGCAGCCGCGGUAAU
This 468-nucleotide ribosomal RNA is filed under the name uncultured bacterium. RNAcentral describes it as "bacterial SSU rRNA". It matches the Rfam family "Bacterial small subunit ribosomal RNA", at positions 28 to 524 of the family's 1533-position model. The record is from RNAcentral.